RNAcentral lists this small RNA (145 nucleotides) under Algibacter luteus. Its description in RNAcentral is "Arenitalea lutea Flavo-1 RNA". It matches the Rfam family "Flavo-1 RNA". Lineage: Bacteria; Pseudomonadati; Bacteroidota; Flavobacteriia; Flavobacteriales; Flavobacteriaceae. The record is from Rfam by way of RNAcentral.
UAAUUGCGUUAGGGAUUGCAGUGGCAUCCUUUUUAAAAAAUGGUUAGCAAUAAAUUAGCUUUGAGUCAUGCAUAAAAAGCUAGCCACGUCGCUCGCUCCUCGCUAUGACGUUUUUAAAAAGAUAUAACGAAAAGCCCGACCUAUA